RNAcentral lists this long non-coding RNA (743 nucleotides) under Capsella grandiflora. RNAcentral describes it as "long non-coding RNA (CGRA_LNC000407)". The record is from RNAcentral. Lineage: Eukaryota; Viridiplantae; Streptophyta; Magnoliopsida; Brassicales; Brassicaceae.
GGCAAGUCCAAGUUCGGUAAAUCAAAGGCUUUUCCGCAACCUUUGUGCGACGAUUCGCUCCACAUCCUUUGGUCUAAGAGAUCCCCCGAUCCCUUAGGUGCAAAGCUUAUCAUUCCCUCAACUUCAAGAGUGUCGAUUCUAGGAGAAACGUAUUAUGUGGUAUCAGAGCACACUCUGAAAAGUUGAGUACUCUAUCAUCUCUUCAAUCUUUCAUCAUUCCAUUCAAUCUUCUUUUAUCUUUCCAUUUCUUUUUUGUAUUUAUUUUUGUGUGCUUUUGUCUGGAUUUUCUGUCAUUUUGUAUGAAUUUUCAUAAAUAUUUGACUAAUCCGAAAAUUUCAAAUUUGAUUGUUUCGGAAACUAGAACGAGUCUAGUAUUUUACAAAAUUAAUUCUGGAAUUUUUGAAUUCGAUUUCAUAAUUAGGCAUCAUUUUCAUGUCUUUUUUCUUUGAACUAGUGACUGGUUUUGUUUUGUUUCAAUGGCAGGGGAAGAGAAAUCCAAGUCAUCACGUUCGAGAAGAAGUGCUAACAAUCAAGUCCUUAUCGAUGCUAUCGAAAAGCUUGCAAAAAAAAUUGAUAAAUUUGAAGAAAGAUUUAAGCCGGUAGAAGCACAAAUUAAAAGAGAAAUCCAAGUCAUCAUCUCAGAGGGCGAGAAAAAUCAAAAGGAGCAAAAUAGUCAAUCCUCGAAGAAGGAGCCGGUUGAUAAAAUUUCCCCGAGUAGUCACUCAUCUCACCGGAGCAGUCGA